RNAcentral lists this ribosomal RNA (253 nucleotides) under uncultured bacterium. RNAcentral describes it as "partial 16S ribosomal RNA". It matches the Rfam family "Bacterial small subunit ribosomal RNA", at positions 524 to 776 of the family's 1533-position model. The record is from RNAcentral.
UACGUAGGUGGCAAGCGUUGUCCGGAAUUAUUGGGCGUAAAGCGCGCGCAGGCGGCCUUUUAAGUCUGAUGUGAAAGCCCACGGCUCAACCGUGGAAGGUCAUUGGAAACUGAAAGGCUUGAGUACAGAAGAGGAAAGCGGAAUUCCACGUGUAGCGGUGAAAUGCGUAGAGAUGUGGAGGAACACCAGUGGCGAAGGCGGCUUCCUGGUCUGUAACUGACGCUGAGGCGCGAAAGCGUGGGGAGCAAACAGG